AGUUUGAUCAUGGCUCAGGAUGAACGCUGGCGGCGUGCCUAAUACAUGCAAGUCGAGCGAACCACUUCGGUGGUGAGCGGCGAACGGGUGAGUACACGUAGGUGAUCUGCCCAUCAGACGGGGACAACGAUUGGAAACGAUCGCUAAUACCGGAUAGGACGAAAGUUUAAAGGUGCUUCUGGCACCGCUGAUGGAUGAGCCUGCGGCGCAUUAGCUAGUUGGUAGGGUAAAGGCCUACCAAGGCGACGAUGCGUAGCCGACCUGAGAGGGUGAACGGCCACACUGGGACUGAGACACGGCCCAGACUCCUACGGGAGGCAGCAGUAGGGAAUCUUCGGCAAUGGGCGAAAGCCUGACCGAGCAACGCCGCGUGAAUGAUGAAGGCCUUCGGGUUGUAAAAUUCUGUUAUAAGGGAAGAACGACUUUAGUAGGAAAUGGCUAGAGUGUGACGGUACCUUAUGAGAAAGCCACGGCUAACUACGUG
This 484-nucleotide ribosomal RNA is filed under the name uncultured bacterium. Its description in RNAcentral is "bacterial SSU rRNA". It matches the Rfam family "Bacterial small subunit ribosomal RNA", at positions 10 to 507 of the family's 1533-position model. The record is from RNAcentral.